CUGACGAGCACGCCGCGUGAGUGAAGAAGGUUUUCGGAUCGUAAAACUCUGUUGUUAGAGAAGAACAAGGAUGAGAGUAGAACGUUCAUCCCUUGACGGUAUCUAACCAGAAAGCCACGGCUAACUACGUGCCAGCAGCCGCGGUAAUACGUAGGUGGCAAGCGUUGUCCGGAUUUAUUGGGCGUAAAGCGAGCGCAGGCGGUUUCUUAAGUCUGAUGUGAAAGCCCCCGGCUCAACCGGGGAGGGUCAUUGGAAACUGGGAGACUUGAGUGCAGAAGAGGAGAGUGGAAUUCCAUGUGUAGCGGUGAAAUGCGUAGAUAUAUGGAGGAACACCAGUGGCGAAGGCGGCUCUCUGGUCUGUAACUGACGCUGAGGCUCGAAAGCGUGGGGAGCGAACAGGAUUAGAUACCC
This 411-nucleotide ribosomal RNA is filed under the name Enterococcus gallinarum. RNAcentral's name for it is "bacterial SSU rRNA". It matches the Rfam family "Bacterial small subunit ribosomal RNA", at positions 383 to 787 of the family's 1533-position model. The record is from RNAcentral. Lineage: Bacteria; Bacillati; Bacillota; Bacilli; Lactobacillales; Enterococcaceae.